This 972-nucleotide long non-coding RNA is filed under the name Homo sapiens (human). RNAcentral's name for it is "long non-coding RNA NONHSAT162425.1". The record is from RNAcentral. Lineage: Eukaryota; Metazoa; Chordata; Mammalia; Primates; Hominidae.
UAUGAACAAGAAGGAGUAUAUAUUCACUCAUCUUGUGGAAAGACCAAUGACCAAGACGGCUUGAUUUCAGGAAUAUUACGUGUUUUAGAAAAGGAUGCCGAAGUAAUAGUGGACUGGAGACCAUUGGAUGAUGCAUUAGAUUCCUCUAGUAUUCUCUAUGCUAGAAAGAUGCUCCAAGUCAUAGAAAUGGGAAAAGCAAAUGGUCAUUCCUGUUCAGUUUGACAGACCUGAAAUCAAUCAAGCAAAACAAAGAGGGUAUGGGCUGGUCCUAUUUGGUAUUCUGUCUAAAGGAUGACGUCGUUCUCCCUGCUCUACACUUUCAUCAAGGAGAUAGCAAACUACUGAUUGAAUCUCUUGAAAAAUAUGUGGUAUUGUGUGAGUAAAUCUCCACAGGAUAAAAGAACACUUCUUGUGAAUUGUCAGAAUAAGAGUCUUUCACAGUCUUUUGAAAAUCUUCUUGAUGAGCCAGCAUAUGGUUUAAUACAAAAAAUUAAAAAGGACCCUUAUACGGCAACUAUGAUAGGAUUUUCCAAAGUCACAAACUACAUUUUUGACAGUUUGAGAGGCAGCGAUCCCUCUACACAUCAACGACCACCUUCAGAAAUGGCAGAUUUUCUUAGUGAUGCUAUUCCAGGUCUAAAGAUAAAUCAACAAGAAGAACCAGGAUUUGAAGUCAUCACAAGAAUUGAUUUGGGGGAACGCCCUGUUGUUCAAAGGAGAGAACCGGUAUCACUGGAAGAAUGGACUAAGAACAUUGAUUCUGAAGGAAGAAUUUUAAAUGUAGAUAAUAUGAAGCAGAUGAUAUUUAGAGGGGGACUUAGUCAUGCAUUGAGAAAGCAAGCAUGGAAAUUUCUUCUGGGUUAUUUUCCCUGGGACAGUACCAAGGAGGAAAGAACCCAAUUACAAAAGCAAAAAACUGAUGAAUACUUCAGAAUGAAACUGCAGUGGAAAUCCAUCAGCCAGGAACAAGAG